RNAcentral lists this ribosomal RNA (535 nucleotides) under Streptomyces sp. LK2331.1. RNAcentral describes it as "bacterial SSU rRNA". It matches the Rfam family "Bacterial small subunit ribosomal RNA", at positions 83 to 632 of the family's 1533-position model. The record is from RNAcentral. Lineage: Bacteria; Bacillati; Actinomycetota; Actinomycetes; Kitasatosporales; Streptomycetaceae.
CGGGGUGNNUNAAUAGAGAAAAAAUGAGUAACACGUGGGCAAUCUGCCCUUCACUCUGGGACAAGCCCUGGAAACGGGGUCUAAUACCGGAUAAUACUUUCCUCCUCCUGGAGGAAGGUUGAAAGCUCCGGCGGUGAAGGAUGAGCCCGCGGCCUAUCAGCUAGUUGGUGGGGUAAUGGCCUACCAAGGCGACGACGGGUAGCCGGCCUGAGAGGGCGACCGGCCACACUGGGACUGAGACACGGCCCAGACUCCUACGGGAGGCAGCAGUGGGGAAUAUUGCACAAUGGGCGAAAGCCUGAUGCAGCGACGCCGCGUGAGGGAUGACGGCCUUCGGGUUGUAAACCUCUUUCAGCAGGGAAGAAGCGAAAGUGACGGUACCUGCAGAAGAAGCGCCGGCUAACUACGUGCCAGCAGCCGCGGUAAUACGUAGGGCGCAAGCGUUGUCCGGAAUUAUUGGGCGUAAAGAGCUCGUAGGCGGCUUGUCACGUCGGUUGUGAAAGCCCGGGGCUUAACCCCGGGUCUGCAGUCGAUA